Molecule: ribosomal RNA, 401 nt
Filed under: uncultured bacterium
Lineage: Bacteria
Description: bacterial SSU rRNA
Rfam family: Bacterial small subunit ribosomal RNA
Source: RNAcentral
GACGAACGCUGGCGGCGUGCUUAACACAUGCAAGUCGAACGGUGAACCAGAGCUUGCUCUGGGGAUCAGUGGCGAACGGGUGAGUAACACGUGGGCAACCUGCCCCAGACUCUGGGAUAACCUCGGGAAACCGAUGCUAAUACCGGAUACGACCACUUCGGACAUCCGACGGUGGUGGAAAGUUUUUCGGUCUGGGAUGGGCCCGCGGCCUAUCAGCUAGUUGGUGGGGUAAUGGCCUACCAAGGCGACGACGGGUAGCCGGCCUGAGAGGGCGACCGGCCACACUGGAACUGAGACACGGUCCAGACUCCUACGGGAGGCAGCAGUGGGGAAUAUUGCACAAUGGGCGAAAGCCUGAUGCAGCGACGCCGCGUGAGGGACGACGGCCUCGGUUGUAACGU